RNAcentral lists this unclassified non-coding RNA (570 nucleotides) under Fusarium keratoplasticum. RNAcentral describes it as "sequence contains 18S rRNA gene, ITS1, 5.8S rRNA gene, ITS2, 28S rRNA gene". The stretch from base 196 to 349 matches the Rfam family "5.8S ribosomal RNA". Lineage: Eukaryota; Fungi; Ascomycota; Sordariomycetes; Hypocreales; Nectriaceae. The record is from RNAcentral.
UCGUAACAAGGUCUCCGUUGGUGAACCAGCGGAGGGAUCAUUACCGAGUUAUACAACUCAUCAACCCUGUGAACAUACCUAAAACGUUGCUUCGGCGGGAACAGACGGCCCCGUAACACGGGCCGCCCCCGCCAGAGGACCCCCUAACUCUGUUUCUAUUAUGUUUCUUCUGAGUAAAACAAGCAAAUAAAUUAAAACUUUCAACAACGGAUCUCUUGGCUCUGGCAUCGAUGAAGAACGCAGCGAAAUGCGAUAAGUAAUGUGAAUUGCAGAAUUCAGUGAAUCAUCGAAUCUUUGAACGCACAUUGCGCCCGCCAGUAUUCUGGCGGGCAUGCCUGUUCGAGCGUCAUUACAACCCUCAGGCCCCCGGGCCUGGCGUUGGGGAUCGGCGAGGCGCCCCCUGCGGGCACACGCCGUCCCCCAAAUACAGUGGCGGUCCCGCCGCAGCUUCCAUUGCGUAGUAGCUAACACCUCGCAACUGGAGAGCGGCGCGGCCACGCCGUAAAACACCCAACUUCUGAAUGUUGACCUCGAAUCAGGUAGGAAUACCCGCUGAACCUAAGCAUAUCA